CCCUUAGAUGUUCUGGGCCGCACGCGCGCUACACUGAUGCAUUCAACGAGUCGAAAACCUGCUCUGAUAGGGGUGGGUAAUCUUUUGAAUGUGCAUCGUGAUUGGGAUAGAUGAUUGCAAUUUUUCAUCUUCAACGAGGAAUGCCUAGUAAACGCAAGUCAUCAGCUUGCAUUGAUUACGUCCCUGCCCUUUGUACACACCGCCCGUCGCUCCUACCGAUUGAAUGAUCCGAUGAAUAUCAUGGAUUGAGGAUUAUAGCAGGUUCGCCUGUCUUGAUCUUCGAGAAGUGAAGUAAAUCUUAUCAUUUAGAGGAAGGAGAAGUCGUAACA
This 329-nucleotide ribosomal RNA is filed under the name uncultured eukaryote. Its description in RNAcentral is "partial 18S ribosomal RNA". It matches the Rfam family "Eukaryotic small subunit ribosomal RNA", at positions 1470 to 1796 of the family's 1831-position model. The record is from RNAcentral.